GACGAACGCUGGCGGCGUGCUUCAUACAUGCAAGUCGAGCGGAAAGGCCCUUCGGGGUACUCGAGCGGCGAACGGGUGAGUAACACGUGAGCAACCUGCCCUUGGCUCUGGGAUAACUCCUCGAAAGAGGUGCUAAUACCGGAUAUGACUUCCUUCGACAUCGUCGGAAGUGGAAAGUUCUUCGGCCAAGGAUGGGCUCGCGGCCUAUCAGCUUGUUGGUGAGGGUAACGGCCCACCAAGGCUUCGACGGGUAGCCGGCCUGAGAGGGCGACCGGCCACACUGGGACUGAGACACGGCCCAGACUCCUACGGGAGGCAGCAGUAGGGAAUAUUGCGCAAUGGGCGAAAGCCUGACGCAGCAACGCCGCGUGAGGGAUGAAGGCCUUAGGGUCGUAAACCUCUUUCGGCAGGGACGAAGCGAAAGUGACGGUACCUGCAAAAGAAGCACCGGCCAACUACGUGCCAGCCGCCGCUGUAAC
This 479-nucleotide ribosomal RNA is filed under the name uncultured bacterium. RNAcentral describes it as "bacterial SSU rRNA". It matches the Rfam family "Bacterial small subunit ribosomal RNA", at positions 28 to 524 of the family's 1533-position model. The record is from RNAcentral.